AAUGGGGGCAACCCUGACGCAGCAAUGCCGCGUGAGUGAAGAAGGCCUUCGGGUCGUAAAGCUCUUUUAUGGGGGAAGAUGAUGACGGUACCCCAUGAAUAAGCACCGGCUAACUACGUGCCAGCAGCCGCGGUAAUACGUAGGGUGCGAGCGUUGUUCGGAAUUACUGGGCGUAAAGGGCGUGCAGGCGGAUUGGCAAGCCGGAGGUGAAAGCCCGGGGCUCAACCCCGGAGGGUCUUUCGGAACUGCCAGUCUUGAGAGGGUCAGGGGCCAGCGGAAUUCCUGGUGUAGAGGUGAAAUUCGUAGAGAUCAGGAGGAACACCGGCGGCGAAAGCGGCUGGCUGGGGCCACUCUGACGCUGAGGCGCGAAAGCGUGGGGAGCAAACAGGAUU
Molecule: ribosomal RNA, 392 nt
Filed under: uncultured delta proteobacterium
Lineage: Bacteria; Deltaproteobacteria
Description: bacterial SSU rRNA
Rfam family: Bacterial small subunit ribosomal RNA
Source: RNAcentral